CCCGUCACACCAUGGGAGUGAGUUGCAAAAGAAGUAGGUAGCUUAACCUUCGGGAGGGCGCUUACCACUUUGUGAUUCAUGACUGGGGUGAAGUCGUAACAAGGUAACCGUAGGGGAACCUGCGGUUGGAUCACCUCCUUACCUUAAAGAAGC
RNAcentral lists this ribosomal RNA (153 nucleotides) under Escherichia coli. RNAcentral describes it as "partial 16S ribosomal RNA". It matches the Rfam family "Bacterial small subunit ribosomal RNA", at positions 1393 to 1533 of the family's 1533-position model. Lineage: Bacteria; Pseudomonadati; Pseudomonadota; Gammaproteobacteria; Enterobacterales; Enterobacteriaceae. The record is from RNAcentral.